UAAUAUUGAACAACCUCAAAUCAAUUGCUAUCGAAUUACAUUUACAAUUCAAGCACAUAAUCAUAUUUACAUGUUAUUGACCAAUCUCUUGUAUUGCUACAACCUCGCGCACAAACAAACACACAUAAAAAUGAAAAAAAAUAAUAAAUAUAACCGAAAAACAACUAAUAAAACCAUAAAAUUUUGAAAAUAUUUCUAUGUUAAACCCCCCACACACUUUAUUUGGCAUGUUGUCCCUAAUGUGCGUCCCAAAGAUAGGAGAAGAAACUAAACAUUUUUUGUAUUGAGGUCCUCAGAUAUGGUCAAUUAAUCCUCCUUGUGUCGAUUUAGUUCCAAGAUGCAAUGUCGCAUAUCGUAAGGGGUUCCUACAUAGAAAUUAAAUAAAAAAACUAAAGCAAAAAUAAAUAACAAAGUCUAACUAAAAAUAAAAAAAUCCAAAAAUUAAAAUUUACAAGUCCUAAAAAUUAAAAUAAAAUUAAAAGUUCAGAAGUUUUUAACCAGAAUCGACAUCCAGCUAACUUUCCUCAAUCAUUGGGUCCUUCCCUCAACCCGUGUCUAGUAUGGCAGCCUUUGCACCCGCAAAACUAGUGGGGCUCAUGCGACUCAGGAUGCGAAUCUUAGCUCCUCUUAUUGAUGGCUGCUUUGUUCAAAGCAUCUCGUCGAGAUCAUUGACAAGGGUCGACUCUUCUUCUUCCUCCUCGUCAUCGCUUUCUUCCUCUUUCUCCCAUUUCUGACCAGCUUAUGGUAUAGGUGGGUACCGAUUUGGUGGUGGCUCAGAGGUGGGAAUCCCGAAUCAUUGGACGUAGUACUUACCCAACAAUGUCACCCACUGCAUCCAUCUAAUGACCUACACCAUGUCGGCCAUAUCGCUGGUCUAUUGCCUCCCUUAGCCCUUUUUCUUCGUCUUCCUUUUGGGGGAUAGUAGGAAAUCCAUCUUUUUCUUCUAUUGCCCGUUCAACUCUUGGAUGUGCUUACGAUUUAGCUCGAUGUACUAGGCAUACAUGGAGUUCCUAAGGAUGCUUUUAUUGGGCUUAAUGAACUGCUCAAUUGUGGACAUCGGGACCUUAACCUUCUUGCAUAAGGCAGUCACUAUGUUUGGGAAAAAGAUCCCGAACUUUUUACCACUAAUGAAAGUGAACAUCGUUUGUAGAUCCACUUGUCGAUGCACAAUUUUCUAUGCUACAAAAUACAGUAUAACAAAAUAGCUCGAAAGGAGUUAACAUUAGAUAAAUUAAGGCUGGAAAACUCCAAGUUUUGGC
This 1259-nucleotide long non-coding RNA is filed under the name Gossypium barbadense (sea-island cotton). Its description in RNAcentral is "long non-coding RNA (GBAR_LNC019080)". The record is from RNAcentral. Lineage: Eukaryota; Viridiplantae; Streptophyta; Magnoliopsida; Malvales; Malvaceae.